This 70-nucleotide transfer RNA is filed under the name Pachycrepoideus vindemmiae. RNAcentral describes it as "tRNA-Trp". Lineage: Eukaryota; Metazoa; Arthropoda; Insecta; Hymenoptera; Pteromalidae. The record is from RNAcentral.
AAAAUUUUAAGUUAAAAAAACUUUAAACCUUCAAAGUUUAAUAUAUAUAUAUAUAUAUAUAUAAAUUUUA